Non-coding RNA from Pelobates cultripes (western spadefoot toad), 236 nucleotides. The record is from the annotation of a GenBank genome assembly. Lineage: Eukaryota; Metazoa; Chordata; Amphibia; Anura; Pelobatidae.
CGUAUAGAUGAGAUUCGUUUGGCUUCGAUGCGUUUUUUAAGGUGGCGAGCUAGCAUGGUGUCCGCCUUGUUCCCUUUUUCGUAGAAUUUUUGUUUUAGCCACAUCAGGGCCUUAGAGGUGUCUGCCUGCGUGAGGCUUUUUAAUAGGUCCCUGAGUGCUGUUAGUUCGGUCAGUGUGGUAGGUUGAGCGUGUCUUUUGUGUAUGGUUUCUAGACGGCGUAGUUCCGUCAUCGUGAU